RNAcentral lists this long non-coding RNA (3122 nucleotides) under Cricetulus griseus (Chinese hamster). RNAcentral's name for it is "lncRNA (ENSCGRG00015030836.1)". Lineage: Eukaryota; Metazoa; Chordata; Mammalia; Rodentia; Cricetidae. The record is from RNAcentral.
CUUAAUCUUUGAACCUGGCUGGAGUUACAUCCCUUGAGCAGUGUUGAUGGGGAAUGUACUUACUUCUGUGUAUGCUUGUCUUAGUGAUUGUUGAACAAAGCACUGUUUGGCCAAUGAAGCAGCAAGUUAGGCGGGACUAGGAGUCGAGGAGGAUUCUGGGAAAUGUAGUAAAAGAUCCAGGCAGGAAGUGACAUAGCAGGCAGACUCAGUAUAUAAGCAAGGGCAAGAAGGAAGUCGCCCUUUUUGCUCUUCCUCCUGCUCUCUGCUCUGCAGUCGCCAUGCGACCUCCAGGAAGACAGGACACAUUCUGCCUGAGUGCUCCAAAGAUAAGUCUUAUGAUUAUGGUUGAUAAUUGAGACUGAGCUAGCACACGAGAAAUCCUAGUCAUUGGCCAAGCAGCAUUUGUACCUAAUAUAAGUCUCUGUGUGUUACUUGGGACCUUAACGUAGCAGCGGGCAGAACUCGGGUGGCCUGGCGGAAAGCACCCACGUGGCAGCAGGGCUUGGGUGGCUUCUUGGCAGAAAGACUUAUUGUUUCACAGUGUCACUUCAAAAGCCACAGAACCAUAUAUGCAGAUCUCACUGAGGUCCUUAGUUAGUACUUCUCUGUCAUCCCUGAACACCUCACACGGCAGUACCAGUGGUUAAAUGCAAGACUUGUAGGCAGGCAAGUGCUCUACCUCUGGGCAAACCCACCGGCCUCUUUACACUUAGAUUUGGAGGACACCGGACAUCUCAGUCAUGUUCCGUGAUGGCUACAAAUUACUGUCAACUUGACUUCAUUCAGAGACAGUCAGACCCCAGGCUCUGGCCUUAGCAGGCUUCCUGUCCUCUGCCAAAGUCUCCAGUGGCCAUGAUUUUAUACCCAAGUACGUGGGGGUGAAAGGACUGUGGAAAAGCCCUCUGAAACUGUAAGUCAAGGCCCCCGAGGAAGCAGGAUGAGAUGAUGGAGUUAGAAAUUCAACGUGUUCAUCGGAGGUGAUUUCUGUGAAGGAUGCCGGUGGGAGAGAUCAGGCGGAGAGAGCUCUGGUCCCUGGUUGAGACUUGAUGAUGUCACAGGCAAGUUCCAGUGGGGCCCGAAGCCAAAGUGACUCACAAGAUGAGGCCGUCCCUGGGCCCUUGCCUUGCUUCACCACCGGCUGAGGGGUGCUCCGGAAGAGCCUGGCCCAACAGGAAAGCUCCUUGGACUCGACAGUGCUGUUCAAAAGGGACACGUGCCCUUCAUGGAAGCCUCAUGACCAGGCUCAUCUAUGCAGAUGCCAGAGCCCAGGGCCCAGCUCCGCACACUGGCUCCAGAUUGAGUCAGGCUAGUAUGGCGGGGAUGUGGUCCUCAACACUUUGCUCAGGCCAAACCCCAGCAGUGCCUGACUCUCAGCUGCUGAGAUGCUGUCCCCUCUACCAGUCAUGACUCUAGGGGGGUGUUGUCCCUUUAUCCUCCAGGGAGACGGUGACCGGAAUUCAGGAUGCCCAUGUCCACACUGGGCCUGGACGAAAGCAGCCAGAACAACCAUGUCUGCUCUCUGCCUCCGUCUAUUUCCUGCUCUGCCCUUCCUCCCUCUCUCAGACAGCGUGUUACCUUGCAACCCAGGGUUGUCCUUCGCUCCGUGAUCCUCCUGACUCAGCCUCUAGUAUACCGGGAUUACAGUCAUCACAUCUGGGUCUCCACGGCUAUCACAGAACUCCUUUGCAGCGAGAAGCCUGCUGAUGUAGCAGCUCCAAUUUGAACAGUGGUUCAUAAAAAAAACCCACAGCCUUUCCGUGUGUUCCCUUCUCUCGUGGACGCCACAGGGUGUCCCUCCUCCUUCCCACACAGCUUGUGUCACCUGCCUCUGUGCCUUUGAGACAAGCUCAAGGGGUGAUUUGGUGGCUGGGAGUUCAACAACCUCUUCCUAGCGGUCAGUUCCGUUACCUCCCAGGCAAAGAUUCCAGUUUAGGUUUUAAGCUUGAAGAGCCAGGUGUGAUGGUCCCAGCACCCAGGAGGCUAAGAUGGGAAGAUGGAGAUGAAGAUGAGCCAGAACCCAGAGGACAGAGGUGCUAAUGUGGCCUACAAAUGGAAAGUGAAAGAAGCCGGGGUAGGCAUGCUGACUCAGCUGGCAACCUAAGGAUGGAGCCCACGCAGUCUCCACAGUCUCUGGGACAAACACGAUGGAAGGAGAGAAGUGACUCCCUCAGGUUGUCCUUAGACCUCCACAUGUAUGCAGUGGCAUGACCCCCACCCUCUCCCUGUGUCCCCCACACCAAUUACUUAAUUAAAGGGUUUUUUGUUUGUUUGUUUGUUUUUGUUUUUCGAGACAGGGUUUCUCUGUGGCUUUGGAGGCUGUCCUGGAACUCGCUCUUGUAGACCAGGCUGGUCUCGAACUCACAGAGAUCUGCCAGCCUCUGCCUCCCGAGUGCUGGGAUUAAAGGCGUACACCACCAACGCCCGGCAAGGUUUUUUUUUUUUUUUUAAGCCAGUGUAUCUGAUAGGCUUUGCUUACCACCCCAGGCUGGUUUUAGUGUCCCCUCGCCCUUUCCAGCAAAGAGGCCACUCUCUUGCCAUUACACCUCUCAAUGCUCAGAGGUCAGGGCCAGUGUCACUACCUCUGUCCCCUCCCUUGUCCCAGUGUCACUACCACUGAUCCCUGUACUCAACGUAGGCAAAGAGCAGCCAGACCGCUCAAGGGUCCCCCAGCACCUCGAGGUGGCUUGCCCACUGGACUCAAGUACAAUCUGUGCGGCCGCUCUCCCCCUACUCCCCAGCACCCACGGGGAGGGCAGCCGGCAUCGCUGAGUCUCAACCUGGGCUGUGUAUUUUUCAUUAUAUGUGAUUUUAAAUUUACUCUUUGAGAAUGUCAUACAUGCAUACAAUGAAUUUCAAUCAUAUGUAUCCCCUUCCCCUCCUCUAACUCUUCCCAGACUCUCCCAUCUCCCUCCCAAUUUCAUAUCCUAUUUUUUAAAUAACUCACUGAAUCCAAUUAGUGCUGUAUAUAUCUGAAAUGUCUGGAGCUACCCACUGGAACAUGGUCAGACUACCAGGGACCGCACCCGUAAAGAAAACGGGUUCUAUCUCCCCUGGCAAUCACUGCACACUUAAACAAAUUGUAAUGCCAUAAACUCAUUCUCAAGAUUUGUCUGGCACCAGGC